RNAcentral lists this ribosomal RNA (598 nucleotides) under Neofusicoccum vitifusiforme. Its description in RNAcentral is "eukaryotic LSU rRNA". It matches the Rfam family "Eukaryotic large subunit ribosomal RNA", at positions 297 to 915 of the family's 3401-position model. The record is from RNAcentral. Lineage: Eukaryota; Fungi; Ascomycota; Dothideomycetes; Botryosphaeriales; Botryosphaeriaceae.
AGGUAAAUUUCUUCUAAAGCUAAAUACCGGCCAGAGACCGAUAGCGCACAAGUAGAGUGAUCGAAAGAUGAAAAGCACUUUGGAAAGAGAGUUAAAAAGUACGUGAAAUUGUUGAAAGGGAAGCGCUUGCAGCCAGACUUGUCCGCAGUUGCUCAGCCUGUCUCCUGACAGGCGCACUCUUCUGCGGCCAGGCCAGCAUCAGUUCGGGCGGUCGGAUAAAGACCCGGGGAAUGUAGCUCCUCUCGGGGAGUGUUAUAGCCCUGGGUGCAAUGCGGCCAGCCUGGACUGAGGAUCUCGCUUCGGCUAGGAUGCUGGCGUAAUGGCUGUAAGCGGCCCGUCUUGAAACACGGACCAAGGAGUCUAACAUCUAUGCGAGUGUUUGGGUGUCAAACCCAUGCGCGUAAUGAAAGUGAACGGAGGUGGGAACCCUCACGGGUGCACCAUCGACCGAUCCUGAUGUCUUCGGAUGGAUUUGAGUAAGAGCAUAGCUGUUGGGACCCGAAAGAUGGUGAACUAUGCCUGAAUAGGGUGAAGCCAGAGGAAACUCUGGUGGAGGCUCGCAGCGGUUCUGACGUGCAAAUCGAUCGUCAAAUUUGGG